UCCCUGGUGGCUCAGAUGGUAAAGAAUCUGCCUGCAAUGCAGAAGACCUGGGUUCAAUUCCUGGGUUGGGAA
This 72-nucleotide transfer RNA is filed under the name Bos taurus (domestic cattle). It matches the Rfam family "tRNA". From Rfam's summary of the family: Transfer RNA (tRNA) molecules are approximately 80 nucleotides in length. Their secondary structure includes four short double-helical elements and three loops (D, anti-codon, and T loops). Lineage: Eukaryota; Metazoa; Chordata; Mammalia; Artiodactyla; Bovidae. RNAcentral also lists the same sequence under 4 other names. The record is from Rfam by way of RNAcentral.